Cucumis sativus (cucumber) is the source of this 613-nucleotide long non-coding RNA. RefSeq lists it as uncharacterized. Lineage: Eukaryota; Viridiplantae; Streptophyta; Magnoliopsida; Cucurbitales; Cucurbitaceae. The transcript is spliced from 3 exons. The record is from RefSeq and is a predicted model, not a curated record.
CCCGUUCUCUUCUCUUUUCCUUUCUCUUUUCUUUCUUCUUUUUCUUCCUCUUUUCUUCUCCGCUCCACGGCCGCCGCCUCUAUCUUCUUCUUCCCGUCCCGCCGCAGCCAACCGCAGCCCAGCCGCAACCACACCUCUAUCUUCUUCUUCCCGUCCCGCAGCUAGCCGCCGAUCCUUUCUUUCCAUUUUCUUCUUCCGUCCGCAGCCCCACCGCGAAGCAAGACUGCGCCGCUGCCAGUCCAGAUCUGCGGCGCCGUUGCUCUUCCGUCGCUGCAACCGUCGGCCGCCAUCUCUGUUCGCGAAGCAAGGCCGCCGCGUGAACCUGUAACCGCCGGCUGUCUCCCCUCUCCUUUCUCCUCUGUUUUCAGCCCAGCCGCCGCCGAUUUCUUCUCCUCCGUCGUCUGCACUGCCGCGCGACUCUCCGGCCAUCUGUAUACGGUCUCUCCGCCGCACGUCAUCUCUUCGCAAAGCCACUACUCGAUUUCUUUCGCGAAGAUUUGGGUUCGUUCUUCAUAGACUUCAACGUGGUUAAGGAGCUUAACAAAUUUGAAGGCAAAGGUAAUAAAGGCGGCAAACCGGCGAGGGGCAGGAAGGAAGCGUGAUGCCAUAGGAA